This is a non-coding RNA of Oryza meridionalis, 207 nucleotides long. The record is from Rfam. NCBI's taxonomy places the organism in Eukaryota, Viridiplantae, Streptophyta, Magnoliopsida, Poales, Poaceae.
AAAGAGCGUAGUUUUGCACUAUUUAUGUCUAACGUUUGACCGUCCGUUUUAUUUGAAAAGCUUUUAUGAUUAGUAUUUUUGUUGUUAUUAGAUGAUAAAAUAUAAAUAAUACUUUAUGUAUGAUUAUUGCUUUUUAUUUUUUCAUAAAUUUUUUAAAUAAAACGGAUGGUCAAACGUUAGACACGAAAACUCACAAUUGCACUUAAA